This is a small nuclear RNA of Solanum pennellii, 129 nucleotides long. The record is from RefSeq and is a predicted model, not a curated record. NCBI's taxonomy places the organism in Eukaryota, Viridiplantae, Streptophyta, Magnoliopsida, Solanales, Solanaceae.
GUGCUCGUUAAACGGAGAGCUAGUUUGCAUCUCCCACUACAACGAUGGAAUCAACCUUGAAGCGUUACCUUUUACCACAAAUCCAUUUAAGGUAAUCCAACUCUGUGGGACCAUCAAAGAAUGUGAUCC